Molecule: ribosomal RNA, 425 nt
Filed under: uncultured bacterium
Lineage: Bacteria
Description: partial 16S ribosomal RNA
Rfam family: Bacterial small subunit ribosomal RNA
Source: RNAcentral
GUGGGGAAUCUUGCGCAAUGUGCGAAAGCCUGACGCAGCCAUGCCGCGUGAAUGAUGAAGGUCUUAGGAUUGUAAAAUUCUUUCACCGGGGACGAUAAUGACGGUACCCGGAGAAGAAGCUCCGGCUAACUUCAUGCCAGCAGCCGCGGUAAUACGAAGGGGGCUAGCGUUGCUCGGAAUUACUGGGCGUAAAGGGCGCGUAGGCGGACAGCUUAGUCAGAGGUGAAAGCCGAGGGCUCAAACUUGGAAUUGCCUUUGAUACUGGCUGUCUUGAGUACGGGAGGGGUGAGUGGAACUCCGAGUGUAGAGGUGAAAUUCGUAGAUAUUCGGAAGAACACCAGUGGCGAAGGCGACUCACUGGCCCGUUACUGACGCUGAGGCGCGAAAGCGUGGGGAGCAAACAGGAUUAGAAACCCCUGUAGUCC